Molecule: ribosomal RNA, 368 nt
Filed under: uncultured bacterium
Lineage: Bacteria
Description: bacterial SSU rRNA
Rfam family: Bacterial small subunit ribosomal RNA
Source: RNAcentral
AAUGAACGUUGGCGGCGUGGAUUAGGCAUGCAAGUCGCGCGACAAGGAACCUUCGGGUUCUGGAGGAGCGGCAAACGGGGUAGUAAGGCAUCGGAACGUACCCUCUUGUUGGGAAUAGCCGCGGGAAACUGCGAGUAAUGCCCAAUAAUCCCUACGGGGCAAAGGUCCGCCGCAGGAGGAGCGGCCGAUGUGAUACCAGCUAGUUGGUGAGGUAAUGGCUCACCAAGGCUUAGACGUCUAGGGGGUGUGAGAGCAUGGCCCCCACCACUGGGACUGAGAUACUGCCCAGACACCUACGGGUGGCUGCAGUCGAGAAUCUUCGGCAAGUGGGCGCAAGCCUGACCGAGCAACGCCGCGUGCGGGAUGAA